UACGUAGGGGGCAAGCGUUGUCCGGAUUCACUGGGCGUAAAGCGCACGUAGGCGGCCCGGUAAGUCGGAUGUGAAAUCUCACGGCUCAACCGUGGAACUGCAUUCGAAACUGUCGGGCUAGAGGCAGGUAGGGGAGAUCGGAAUUCCCGGUGUAGCGGUGAAAUGCGCAGAUAUCGGGAGGAACACCGGUGGCGAAGGCGGAUCUCUGGGACGGUACUGACGCUGAGACGCGAAAGCGUGGGGAGCAAACAGG
Molecule: ribosomal RNA, 253 nt
Filed under: uncultured bacterium
Lineage: Bacteria
Description: partial 16S ribosomal RNA
Rfam family: Bacterial small subunit ribosomal RNA
Source: RNAcentral